GAGCAAAGAGCAGGAGGACAGGGGAUUGAUCUCCCAAGGGAGGUCCCCUGAUCCGAGUCACGGCACCA
MicroRNA precursor from Chlorocebus sabaeus (green monkey), 68 nucleotides. The record is from Ensembl. Lineage: Eukaryota; Metazoa; Chordata; Mammalia; Primates; Cercopithecidae.